This 497-nucleotide ribosomal RNA is filed under the name uncultured bacterium. RNAcentral's name for it is "partial 16S ribosomal RNA". It matches the Rfam family "Bacterial small subunit ribosomal RNA", at positions 28 to 507 of the family's 1533-position model. The record is from RNAcentral.
GAUGAACGCUGGCGGCGUGCCUAAUACAUGCAAGUCGAGCGAACGGACGAGAAGCUUGCUUCUCUGAUGUUAGCGGCGGACGGGUGAGUAACACGUGGAUAACCUACCUAUAAGACUGGGAUAACUUCGGGAAACCGGAGCUAAUACCGGAUAAUAUUUUGAACCGCAUGGUUCAAAAGUGAAAGACGGUCUUGCUGUCACUUAUAGAUGGAUCCGCGCUGCAUUAGCUAGUUGGUAAGGUAACGGCUUACCAAGGCAACGAUGCAUAGCCGACCUGAGAGGGUGAUCGGCCACACUGGAACUGAGACACGGUCCAGACUCCUACGGAAGGCAGCAGUAGGGAAUCUUCCGCAAUGGGCGAAAGCCUGACGGGGCAACGCCGCGUGAGUGAUGAAGGUCUUCGGAUCGUAAAACUCUGUUAUUAGGGAAGAACAUAUGUGUAAGUAACUGUGCACAUCUUGACGGUACCUAAUCAGAAAGCCACGGCUAACUACGUG